This 459-nucleotide ribosomal RNA is filed under the name uncultured bacterium. RNAcentral's name for it is "partial 16S ribosomal RNA". It matches the Rfam family "Bacterial small subunit ribosomal RNA", at positions 338 to 795 of the family's 1533-position model. The record is from RNAcentral.
CCUACGGGUGGCUGCAGUGAGGAAUAUUGGUCAAUGGGCUUACGCCUGAACCAGCCAAGUCGCGUGAGGGAAGACUGCCCUAUGGGUUGUAAACCUCUUUUGUCAGGGAGCAACGCCGGCUACGUGUAGCCGGCCUGAGAGUCCCUGCGAAAAAGCAUCGGCUAACUCCGUGCCAGCAGCCGCGGUAAUCCGGAGGAUGCGAGCGUUAUCCGGAUUUAUUGGGUUUAAAGGGUGCGUAGGCGGAAUGCCAAGUCAGCGGUAAAAUCGCGGGGCUCAACCUCGCUCCGCCGUUGAAACUGGCGUUCUUGAGUGGGCGAGAAGUAGGCGGAAUGCGUGGUGUAGCGGUGAAAUGCAUAGAUAUCACGCAGAACUCCGAUUGCGAAGGCAGCUUACUAAGCCAUAACUGACACUGAAGCACGAAAGCGUGGGGAUCAAACAGGAUUAGAUACCCUUGUAGUC